AUUGGCCCGGAGUUGCUAGGGCGGAGAGCAAAAGUGUAGCCAUUGGCUGGAGGCCCUAGCGGGACUCGACGUUUCUUCUUCCAAGCAGUGCGUGCGAGCCAGGAAAUGGCGCAGUGAGAAUAUUCUGGGAGAAACAGUAAAGUGAAUUUUGAGAGUCAUCUUUGGAGCCCAGCACACUGAGAUCAAGAUUCUUAAACAAAAAGGGCGCUCACCUCUAAUUCCUUGGCUAACCAGAAAAAGUAUAAAGGAGUAAUGAAAGCCAGCCCUAGGUGUCCUGCAGCCUUGAAAACCGAGUUACUGAUUCAGGCCACCAGAUGGCAGAACACAGGGAAAAAGAAAAGGAGGGGAAGAAAUCCACACCUGCCAAGACCCAGCUCCAGGAUGACCAAGAAGUCUUAGAGAACUUGGUUUCCUAUUACUGUGGGGGGUAGAGGGGAGGUGGGCGCGCGCGAGCGCAGCAGGGAAGAUUAGUCAGAGGCAUUGUUUUAAAGCGUAGUAAUGUACUUAAUUAUAUGAUAGUAAUGUGCUUUAUUAUGUGAUGUAUUUUAUUAUCAGAUAAAAUCUUUUAUGCUUUUUUCCCCCUAUAAAGGUUAUUAUUAUUCUUAAAGCCACCAAGACUAAAGUCUUAAUUGGACCAAACCUAUAAGUUAAUUUGAAAAAAAAUCAAGCUCCUUCUAUUUCAUCUUCUCAUGAGAAGACACGAUGCUUUCCCCAUUUAUUUAGGUCUCCAUUUGUAUCCCUUAAUUAGGAUUGCAGUUUUCCUUAUAAAGAUCAUAAAUAUCACUCAUUAAGAAUUUUACUUGAGGAUGGGUUUAUUUUAUGUAUAUUCCAACCGAAUUUUGAUGAUUUUACAGAUAUAUAUUGAUAUUUGUAGGUUAAAUGUUUAAUUUCUGUU
Long non-coding RNA from Mustela erminea (ermine), 895 nucleotides. RefSeq lists it as uncharacterized. Lineage: Eukaryota; Metazoa; Chordata; Mammalia; Carnivora; Mustelidae. The record is from RefSeq and is a predicted model, not a curated record. The transcript is spliced from 4 exons.